RNAcentral lists this ribosomal RNA (492 nucleotides) under uncultured bacterium. Its description in RNAcentral is "bacterial SSU rRNA". It matches the Rfam family "Bacterial small subunit ribosomal RNA", at positions 43 to 529 of the family's 1533-position model. The record is from RNAcentral.
CAGGCUUAACACAUGCAAGUCGCGGGAGAAGGGGUGCUUCGGGGCCCCGGAGACCGGCGGAUGGGUGAGUAACGCGUAGGCAAUCUGCCUUUAGCACGAGGAUAACCCACCGAAAGGUGUGCUAAUACCCGAUAAUGCAGCGGGGCCGCAUGGCCACAGUUGUUAAACUCUUCGGAGGGCUACAGAGGAGCCUGCGUACCAUUAGCUUGUUGGUAGGGUAACGGCUUACCAAGGCGAUAAUGGUUAGGGGGUCUGAGAGGAUGAUCCCCCACACUGGGACUGAGACACGGCCCAGACUCCUACGGGAGGCAGCAGUGAGGAAUCUUGCGCAAUGGGGGCAACCCUGACGCAGCCACGCCGCGUGCCGGAAGACGGCCCUAUGGGUUGUAAACGGCUUUUGUUGGAGAAGAAUCCCGGAGAUUCGUCUCCGGCUGACGGUAUCCAUCGAAUCAGCACCGGCUAACUCCGUGCCAGCAGCCGCGGUAAUACGGA